Molecule: long non-coding RNA, 882 nt
Organism: Meriones unguiculatus (Mongolian gerbil)
Lineage: Eukaryota; Metazoa; Chordata; Mammalia; Rodentia; Muridae
Exons: 4
Source: RefSeq, a predicted model, not a curated record
AGAACAAGUGAACGGAGCCGAGGCUGAAAGGGCUGCGCCUUCGAGUUAAAUCCAGUCCUUCUUAUUACUGCACAGGCGUGGAGAGGAAGACACACACUCGCGUGAGUCACCCCUUAGACAAGGUGCUUCACUUCUGGGCGCUUUGCUGUGAACUACAGGAUCCUGAAGCACAGAGAACCAGGCUGGAUCAUUCACAGUUGACCUGAGGAGAGAAUGCACACUCAUCUGGAGAGAUGGGCUGAAAAGCCAGUUCCUGAGAUGUUUGACGUCUCCUCAUUCAUGUGAACAUGAAGGGAAGCAAGCUUAACGGUGGUUGUCAGUGGAACCACAAGGUGGGAGCAGAAAACUCCGGAAGAGCUCCAAGGCAGCUUUCCUAGACUUGUGAGGGCAUGCGUGCCUGUACAUGGGUUUUAGAGUCUGAAAAAAAGCCUGGAAGGACUCUUAUCACCAGAGAAGCAAUGGAUGUCCAUGCUGGAUACUGUCACAUGAUUCACUUUGGCCAAUGGGACCUUUGUAAACAUGAAAAAAAAAAAAAAAAAGAAAAACAGAGGCUAGAAAAGUACUUAUCUACUGGAAUAAUCCUAUUGAAGAAGCCUAGGGAACCUGGCCUAGUCAACAGACAGCUUUAAAGACCAGUCAUGUCAGAGACCGUUUGGCAUCUUCAGUCUCGAUAAAGAUGCCAGAUGCUGGGGGUCAGGCAGUGUCAGCGAAGAAUCACUCAGCCCGCCAAUCCGCUGCCUUCGAAUCAUGAGCCAACUAGCCAGCCCGGAACUCGGGCUAAGGCAGGAAGACUGUGAGUAGGAGGCUGGCGAACAUGACAACCCAAGUUAUAGUCUUAAACCACGGAAAUUCUGUAUGUUAUAGAAUAAUAAAUCAUUGAGA